GUCUCUAUCUAUCGUGGGCGCAGGAGUUUUGCGUGGUUCGGUCACUAGUACGAGAGGACCGUGACGGACAGACCUCCGGUUUACCGGUUGUGCCGCCAGGUGCACCGCCGGGUAUCCGCGUCUGGAUUGGAUAAGCGCUGAAAGCAUCUAAGCGCGAAGCCAGCCGCAAGAUGAGAACUCCUUAUGAGGGUCGUCCUAGACGAGGACGUUGAUAGGGCGCAGGUGUAAAGACGGCGACGUCAAAGCCGAGCGCUACUAAUUGCCCGAAACUUUCA
This 275-nucleotide ribosomal RNA is filed under the name Prevotella sp. kh1p2. Its description in RNAcentral is "23S rRNA. Bacterial LSU". It matches the Rfam family "Bacterial large subunit ribosomal RNA", at positions 2634 to 2925 of the family's 2925-position model. Lineage: Bacteria; Pseudomonadati; Bacteroidota; Bacteroidia; Bacteroidales; Prevotellaceae. The record is from RNAcentral.